GACGAACGCUGGCGGCGUGCUUAACACAUGCAAGUCGAACGGAAAGGCCCUGCUUUUGUGGGGUGCUCGAGUGGCGAACGGGUGAGUAACACGUGAGUAACCUGCCCUUGACUUUGGGAUAACUUCAGGAAACUGGGGCUAAUACCGGAUAGGAGCUCCUGCUGCAUGGCGGGGGUUGGAAAGUUUCGGCGGUUGGGGAUGGACUCGCGGCUUAUCAGCUUGUUGGUGGGGUAGUGGCUUACCAAGGCUUUGACGGGUAGCCGGCCUGAGAGGGUGACCGGCCACAUUGGGACUGAAAUACGGCCCAGACUCCUACGGGAGGCAGCAGUGGGGAAUAUUGCACAAUGGGCGGAAGCCUGAUGCAGCAACGCCGCGUGCGGGAUGACGGCCUUCGGGUUGUAAACCGCUUUCGCCUGUGACGAAGCGUGAGUGACGGUAAUGGGUAAAGAAGCACCGGCUAACUACGUG
Molecule: ribosomal RNA, 468 nt
Filed under: uncultured bacterium
Lineage: Bacteria
Description: partial 16S ribosomal RNA
Rfam family: Bacterial small subunit ribosomal RNA
Source: RNAcentral